ACCAUGGCGUCUUCCUGUCGGUAAUUAGCGUCUGUGAGAAUUAGCUACGCCGCGCCACUCUGGCGACUUUCCGCCCCAGUGAGCCCACUUCGUGAGUCUAAUGGAAUUCUGUGCACCCGGCGGUCCGACUCGGAGAUGGGCAAGGUGACCGAGCGGCAGCAGUUGAAGGGGGAGCGAAUUGAUUUAGAAGGAUUUUAAAUACCAGAAGUGUCAGGCAGAUAAAGACCACAAGCCUCUUUCUUGAAGCUGAAUGAGGAGACUGGAAGGCAUCUCUUCAAAAACCAC
Brienomyrus brachyistius is the source of this 285-nucleotide long non-coding RNA. RefSeq lists it as uncharacterized. The transcript is spliced from 3 exons. The record is from RefSeq and is a predicted model, not a curated record. Lineage: Eukaryota; Metazoa; Chordata; Actinopteri; Osteoglossiformes; Mormyridae.